RNAcentral lists this ribosomal RNA (253 nucleotides) under uncultured bacterium. Its description in RNAcentral is "partial 16S ribosomal RNA". It matches the Rfam family "Bacterial small subunit ribosomal RNA", at positions 524 to 776 of the family's 1533-position model. The record is from RNAcentral.
UACGCAGGGUGCGAGCGUUAACCGGAAUUACUGGGCGUAAAGCGUGCGCAGGCGGUCUUUUAAGCCAGAUGUGAAAGCCCCGGGCUUAACCUGGGAACUGCGUUUGGAACUGGAAGGCUAGAGUACGGCAGAGGGGGGUGGAAUUCCACGUGUAGCAGUGAAAUGCGUAGAGAUGUGGAGGAACACCGAUGGCGAAGGCAGCCCCCUGGGCCUGUACUGACGCUCAUGCACGAAAGCGUGGGGAGCAAACAGG